CCUACGGGGGGCAGCAGUGAGGAAUAUUGGUCAAUGGACGAGAGUCUGAACCAGCCAAGUAGCGUGAAGGAUGACUGCCCUAUGGGUUGUAAACUUCUUUUAUAUGGGAAUAAAAUGUUCCACGUGUGGGAUUUUGUAUGUACCAUAUGAAUAAGGAUCGGCUAACUCCGUGCCAGCAGCCGCGGUAAUACGGAGGAUCCGAGCGUUAUCCGGAUUUAUUGGGUUUAAAGGGAGCGUAGGUGGAUUGUUAAGUCAGUUGUGAAAGUUUGCGGCUCAACCGUAAAAUUGCAGUUGAAACUGGCAGUCUUGAGUACAGUAGAGGUGGGCGGAAUUCGUGGUGUAGCGGUGAAAUGCUUAGAUAUCACGAAGAACUCCGAUUGCGAAGACAGUUCACUGGACUGCAACUGACACUGAGGCUCGAAAGUGUGGGUAUCAAACAGGAUUAGAUACCCCUGUAGUC
RNAcentral lists this ribosomal RNA (460 nucleotides) under uncultured bacterium. RNAcentral's name for it is "partial 16S ribosomal RNA". It matches the Rfam family "Bacterial small subunit ribosomal RNA", at positions 338 to 795 of the family's 1533-position model. The record is from RNAcentral.